Molecule: ribosomal RNA, 1309 nt
Filed under: Coilia mystus (Osbeck's grenadier anchovy)
Lineage: Eukaryota; Metazoa; Chordata; Actinopteri; Clupeiformes; Engraulidae
Description: partial 16S ribosomal RNA
Rfam family: Bacterial large subunit ribosomal RNA
Source: RNAcentral
UGAAAAAACUCAUUAAAGCACAAAAAAGCAGAGACACUCCUCGUACCUUUUGCAUCAUGAUUCAGCUAGUAAAAUACAUGCAAAGUGACCUCUAGUUUGUAACCCCGAAACCCGACGAGCUACUCCGGGACAGCCUAUCAAGGGCCAACCCGUCUCUGUGGCAAAAGAGUGGGAAGAUCCCCGAGUAGAAGCAAAAGACCUACCGAGCCGGGUUAUAGCUGGUUGCCCAAAUAAAUGAAUAAAAGUUCAGCCCCGUAUAGCCCAACUCACAGCAGUUUCACUACAAAAGACAAAGAGCUAUUAAGCGGGAGUUAAUCAGGGGAGGUACAGCUCCCCUGAUAAAGGACACAACCUUAUAAAGGAGAUUAAGGAACAUAAUCAGUAAAGGCCACAGGUCUCAGUGGGCCUGAAAGCAGCCACCCGACCAGAAAGCGUUAAAGCUCAGACCAAAAUAACCCUAUUAUUAUAUUAAACACUCCAAAAUCCCUAACAUAAAUGGGCCUUUCUAUGCCCCCAUAGAAGAGAUUAUGCUGAAAUGAGUAACAAGAAGUUUGAACUUCUCCCCGCACAAGUGUAAAUCGAAUUAGACCCACUACCGACAAUUAACGAACCCAAUAACAGAGGGCCCCACAUUACCGCCGUAGAAGGCCAGGAAAAACAUGUCCCCCUAAUCGUUAACCCCACACAGGAGUGCUAAACCAAGGAAAGACUAAAAGAAAAAAAAGGAACUCGGCAAACCUAAACCCCGCCUGUUUACCAAAAACAUCGCCUCUUGCCAACUCUAUUGUAUAAGAGGUCCCACCUGCCCUGUGACCAAAAGUUUAACGGCCGCGGUAUCCUAACCGUGCGAAGGUAGCGCAAUCAAUUGCCUUUUAAAUGAAGGCCUGUAUGAAUGGUAUAACGAGGGUUUAACUGUCUCUUUUUUCCAGUCAGUUAAAUUGAUCUGUCCGUGCAGAAGCGGACAUAAUUAUACAAGACGAGAAGACCCUAUGAAGCUUUAGACACUAACCAACCAUGAAAAGCAAUAAAUUACAUGUACCCCAAACACCCAUGGACCUGGCAUAAUAGUCUUAGGUUGGGGCGACCACGGGAGAUAACAAAGCUCCCGAGCAGAUCAGGGAAAUCCUGAAACUAAGAGUUACAACUCUAAGUCACAAAAAUUUUGACUGAAAUGAUCCGGCCAAAGCCGAUUAACGAACCAAGUUACCCUAGGGAUAACAGCGCAAUCCCCUUUCAGAGUCCAUAUCGACAAGGGGGUUUACGACCUCGAUGUUGGAUCAGGACAUCCUAAUGGUGCAGCCGCUAUUAA